RNAcentral lists this non-coding RNA (81 nucleotides) under human gut metagenome. RNAcentral's name for it is "S10-Clostridia ribosomal protein leader". It matches the Rfam family "S10-Clostridia ribosomal protein leader". The record is from RNAcentral.
UGAUAGCGAUGAAGUGUGAGGUUGCUGCCGGACAGGCAGGUUUUCCACUGAGCGAAUGUCAAGUUAGGAAACUGGCGACAA